RNAcentral lists this non-coding RNA (28 nucleotides) under Cricetulus griseus (Chinese hamster). Lineage: Eukaryota; Metazoa; Chordata; Mammalia; Rodentia; Cricetidae. The record is from RNAcentral.
AUUGGACACAGUUCAUUUCUGAAAGAGC